AUGAUUGGUUGUAUAAUUUAAGAACGAAGUAUCAUGUGAAGUUUCAUGUUCGCCUUAUUUAAA
This 63-nucleotide ribosomal RNA is filed under the name Cyclospora cayetanensis. RNAcentral describes it as "large subunit ribosomal RNA". The record is from RNAcentral. Lineage: Eukaryota; Apicomplexa; Conoidasida; Eucoccidiorida; Eimeriidae.